GAUGAACGCUGGCGGCGUGCCUAAUACAUGCAAGUCGAGCGAACAGAUGAGGAGCUUGCUCCUCUGACGUUAGCGGCGGACGGGUGAGUAACACGUGGAUAACCUACCUAUAAGACUGGGAUAACUUCGGGAAACCGGAGCUAAUACCGGAUAAUAUAUUGAACCGCAUGGUUCAAUAGUGAAAGACGGUUUUGCUGUCACUUAUAGAUGGAUCCGCGCCGCAUUAGCUAGUUGGUAAGGUAACGGCUUACCAAGGCAACGAUGCGUAGCCGACCUGAGAGGGUGAUCGGCCACACGGGAACUGAGACACGGUCCAGACUCCUACGGGAGGCAGCAGUAGGGAAUCUUCCGCAAUGGGCGAAAGCAUGACGGAGCAAAGCCGCGUGAGUGAUGAAGGUCUUCGGAUCGUAAAACUCUGUUAUUAGGGAAGAACAAAUGUGUAAGUAACUAUGCAAGUCUUGACGGUACCUAAUCAGAAAGCCACGGCUAACUACGUG
Molecule: ribosomal RNA, 497 nt
Filed under: uncultured bacterium
Lineage: Bacteria
Description: partial 16S ribosomal RNA
Rfam family: Bacterial small subunit ribosomal RNA
Source: RNAcentral